CUGGCACACACGAGCACGGACGGCCGGGACGACCAUUCACCGUGGCGGUUGGUGUGGUGUGUGGCGUGUGUUGUGCGGAGAGAGAGAGAGAGAGAGAGAGAGAGAGAGAGAGAGAGAGAGAGAGAGAGAGAGAGAGAGAGAGAGAGCGUACAUGAAUGUCAUACGGCUACCACGGCUAUGCGGGAAGGCUAGCGACCGUAGCAGGUAUUAUGACCCCGAACGAAACCGGCGUGCCUGAGGCACGCCAGCACGAGCGAACGAAAUGGGAAUCUUUUGGCAUUCUAUU
Molecule: long non-coding RNA, 286 nt
Organism: Armigeres subalbatus
Lineage: Eukaryota; Metazoa; Arthropoda; Insecta; Diptera; Culicidae
Exons: 2
Source: RefSeq, a predicted model, not a curated record